UGGGGAAUUUUGGACAAUGGGGGAAACCCUGAUCCAGCCAUCCCGCGUGUGCGAUGAAGGCCUUCGGGUUGUAAAGCACUUUUGGCAGGAAAGAAACGUCGCGGGUUAAUACCCCGCGAAACUGACGGUACCUGCAGAAUAAGCACCGGCUAACUACGUGCCAGCAGCCGCGGUAAUACGUAGGGUGCAAGCGUUAAUCGGAAUUACUGGGCGUAAAGCGUGCGCAGGCGGUUCGGAAAGAAAGAUGUGAAAUCCCAGAGCUUAACUUUGGAACUGCAUUUUUAACUACCGGGCUAGAGUGUGUCAGAGGGAGGUGGAAUUCCGCGUGUAGCAGUGAAAUGCGUAGAUAUGCGGAGGAACACCGAUGGCGAAGGCAGCCUCCUGGGAUAACACUGACGCUCAUGCACGAAAGCGUGGGGAGCAAACAGGAUUAGAUACCCUGGUAGUCCACGCCCUAAACGAUGCCAACUAGCUGUUAGGGGCCUUCGGGCCUUGGUAGCGCAGCUAACGGCGUGAAGUUGACCGCCUGGGGAGUACGGUCG
This 542-nucleotide ribosomal RNA is filed under the name uncultured bacterium. RNAcentral's name for it is "partial 16S ribosomal RNA". It matches the Rfam family "Bacterial small subunit ribosomal RNA", at positions 355 to 888 of the family's 1533-position model. The record is from RNAcentral.